RNAcentral lists this ribosomal RNA (488 nucleotides) under Streptococcus parasanguinis. Its description in RNAcentral is "bacterial SSU rRNA". It matches the Rfam family "Bacterial small subunit ribosomal RNA", at positions 28 to 498 of the family's 1533-position model. The record is from RNAcentral. Lineage: Bacteria; Bacillati; Bacillota; Bacilli; Lactobacillales; Streptococcaceae.
GAUGAACGCUGGCGGCGUGCCUAAUACAUGCAAGUAGAACGCUGAAGCUUGGUGCUUGCACCGAGCGGAUGAGUUGCGAACGGGUGAGUAACGCGUAGGUAACCUGCCUCUUAGCGGGGGAUAACUAUUGGAAACGAUAGCUAAUACCGCAUAAAAGUCGACAUCGCAUGAUGUUGACUUGAAAGGUGCAAUUGCAUCACUAAGAGAUGGACCUGCGUUGUAUUAGCUAGUUGGUGAGGUAACGGCUCACCAAGGCGACGAUACAUAGCCGACCUGAGAGGGUGAUCGGCCACACUGGGACUGAGACACGGCCCAGACUCCUACGGGAGGCAGCAGUAGGGAAUCUUCGGCAAUGGGGGCAACCCUGACCGAGCAACGCCGCGUGAGUGAAGAAGGUUUUCGGAUCGUAAAGCUCUGUUGUAAGAAAAGAACGAGUGUGAGAGUGGAAAGUUCACACUGUGACGGUAACUUACCAGAAAGGGACGGCU